CACAAAUAUGUGCAGCACACAGCAAGGUCCUCCCUGUGACCGGCCGGUGUGGCUGUGUGCUGUCUGUCACCCCAGCGCCCUGGACCUCAGUCUGCAGAGAAGCAGCUGUGACAAGCACAGAAAGGCAGGCACUGGUGCCUCCUGUCGAAGCCCCCAAUGCACCAGCAGCCCUCGUGUUAAUUUAAGAAGUUGACUGAACAAUCUGGCACAGUCGCUGGAAACUGAAGAAGGUCGCUUGGAAAGGGUCCUGACCCACCCACCAUGUCAAGCAAUUAUUUUUCUGGACAGCUUCCUGAUGUCCCCAAGGAGAGAGAGAGCGUGACAGCCAGUGAGGGAAAGCAUGCCACAGGUCCCGCCUGCUAACCUGGCAGGAGGGUGCUUGCAACACCUAAUUUAUCAACGCUUGUUUUCCCUGCUGGAGCCAAGUACACAAAAUCACUCCGCCAACAGAGAAAGAGAAAGGGGAAGCCAUUCUUCACCUUUUUCAGUAAUGUAUUUUUGUUUUGGUCAAUUUCCCAGAUAAAUUAUGGUCUUGUCUCAUUGCUGCAUUGGUGGAAUUCUUGCUAGUGUUAUUUAGUACAUUUUAAAGCUGUGUGAAACCAAAAGGUACUUAAAAAAAAAAAAAAAAGGAAAGUUAACCAAAUUGAAGGGUAAAUUUUUUACAUUGUUCCACUGGCUCCAGUUGGAGCUUAAUCAUCACGACCCUUCCUUCAGUCCACAGCGCCUGCUUCAAGAUGCAGCAGAAGUCAAAAUUGCAAGAGUCUGGAUGUUUUGCUUUCGUGUAACUCAUUAGGCAUUUCCCCCUGUGCUAUGAUAAAUGUCUCUCUCAACCAGAAAUUUUAUCUCACCUGUGUAUGUCCCUAUUUCACUCUGCGGAAUCACUCUCAGGAAAUACAAGCUAAUGAUGUCUGUGGUUCUGAAAUUUCCUUGUUAUUAUUUGUUUAAGACAUUUUUUAAAAAAACCUGUGGACAGCUUAUUAAAAGGAUGCUGAGCAAUGAAAACAUUAUUAGACCAUAUUAUUGUUUAUUGUACCCAGAUGUCGUGCAUUUUACACAUCCCAAAGGAUUAGUAGUAAUGUUGGAUACCAAAAUCUUACUUUUCCUUGCAGAUAUUGAGACUAAAUUUUUCUCAUUAAAAACAAAACAUUUACACUGAACAAAUGGUGCGUGUCCGGGUGAAGCAUCAGGUCUCAAGAAGGCAACACUGCUCAAACGAGACUUAGGACAGAACUGGAGACCAAAACAAAGCUGAGGCUACUGUUGGAAAUACUGGUCUAAAAAAAGGAAGAGUGUGGUAUGCUUGUUUUUUAGUUUUAUAGAAUUUUCCAUUUGGAAAGGAGAGAAAUGCAUACAUCCAAGCUGAAAUAAACCAUUCUAGCAAACAUGCCGAGGAAUAAUUUUCAAGAAUGUUUUGUUUUUAAUGAAAAGGAAAGCAAAUCAAAGAAAACCUGGGUAAGUGUUAAAGAGUACUAAAUUUAUAGUAAGGUUCAGGCAAUCUGCCCACUGCAAUCAGAAAGGUUUGGGCUGUUAGUCAUUUAAGACACACAAUGGGAAAAUAAACAAAGAAGGAGGAAGGGGGAAUGGUAAACUGUAGUUUGGCAGCAAAAUUAGUCCAGCUAGUUCCAUUACAUAUUAAACCAUGUCACAAAGCAAAUAAUUGAAAUAAUGAGGAGCUCAUUUUUUAAAAGAUAUAUAGAGUAGCAUAACAGAAUCAACAAAAAUAAGACUGUUUUAUAUAACAAUUCAAUAGACAAUAAAUAAGCACUCCAUUUGGGGAAAAGAAUCACACAAUAAAUGAUGCUGGGAUGGCUUGUGAGUAAUUUGGAGAAAACUGAUCUAGAAUGAGAGCGAGUAUUCCACAUUCGCCACUCUCUUGUCUUUUGGCUUUCUAUCACCUUGGCCAAUGGAGGAAGACAGCAAAAAACAGGAAGGAGGAAGAGUAUGAAGGGAGUCAUUUCUCCCCGGCACUCCAUGCCAGGUUGCUCCAGAAGGCUGUGUCUCUGUCCUAAGGGCUACAGCUUGGCUUGGGCAGUCUUUCCAUACAACUCUCCAGGUUCGGGAAAUUGCUUACUCAUCUGCCCCUGCAAGUGCAGGGAUGACAAUCACUUCCAGCUGAGCUGAGCCCAGCAUGCUGCAUCAUUCUUUGUUGAUGUCCCUCAACUCCGCUGGCGCUAUCUUGAUUAUCCUUAGGCUUACCUCAGUUCCCCAGUCCUAGUGGGCCUUCUGGUUCCUCCUGGGGCACUGACUGAUCCAGGUGCCCUGGGGUUCAGUCGCUAAGUUUCAGCUUCCUAUGUGAUGGGGUUUGGUUCUGUCCUUGUCUAAAUCUCAUGUUGAAUUGUAAUCCCCAGUGCUGGAGGUGGGGCCUGGUGAGAGGUGACUGGAUCAUGGGGUGGAUUUCUCACGAAUAGUUUAGUGCCGUUCCGUUGGUGCUAUCCUCAUGAUAGUGAGUGAGUUCUUGCAAAAUCUGGUCAUUUAAAAGUGCUCCUGCUUUUGCCAUGUGAUGUGUGACAUGCGUACUCCCGCUUCACCUUCCACCACGAUUGUAAGUUUCCUGAGGCUUCCCCAGAAACUGAGCAGAUGCCAGUAUCAUGCUUCCUGUACAGCCUGAGGAUCCAUGAGCCAAUUAAACCUCUUUUCUCUAUAAAUUAUCCAGUCUCAGGUAUUUUUUAUAGCAAUGCAAGAACAGCCUAAUACUGUGCAAUUUCAGAAUCCCAAGUUUCUCUAUUUACCCAAGACCGGGGGGUGCUCCCGCGGCCUGAUUCAUGCUCACAGACAUGCAAA
This 2781-nucleotide long non-coding RNA is filed under the name Homo sapiens (human). RNAcentral describes it as "HSALNT0049291". Lineage: Eukaryota; Metazoa; Chordata; Mammalia; Primates; Hominidae. The record is from RNAcentral.